GCUUUUGGUUCAGUGGUAGAAUGCUCGCCUGCCACGCGAGCGCCCCAGGUUCGAUUCCCGGCCGAUGCA
RNAcentral lists this transfer RNA (69 nucleotides) under Cordylochernes scorpioides. RNAcentral describes it as "tRNA-Gly". It matches the Rfam family "tRNA". Rfam says of the family: Transfer RNA (tRNA) molecules are approximately 80 nucleotides in length. Their secondary structure includes four short double-helical elements and three loops (D, anti-codon, and T loops). Lineage: Eukaryota; Metazoa; Arthropoda; Arachnida; Pseudoscorpiones; Chernetidae. The record is from RNAcentral.